Molecule: ribosomal RNA, 253 nt
Filed under: uncultured bacterium
Lineage: Bacteria
Description: partial 16S ribosomal RNA
Rfam family: Bacterial small subunit ribosomal RNA
Source: RNAcentral
UACGAAGGGGGCUAGCGUUGCUCGGAAUCACUGGGCGUAAAGCGCACGUAGGCGGAUCUUUAAGUCAGAGGUGAAAUCCCCGAGCUCAACUCCGGAACUGCCUUUGAUACUGAGGACCUUGAGUCCGGGAGAGGUGAGUGGAACUGCGAGUGUAGAGGUGAAAUUCGUAGAUAUUCGCAAGAACACCAGUGGCGAAGGCGGCUCACUGGCCCGGUACUGACGCUGAGGUGCGAAAGCGUGGGGAGCAAACAGG